GUGAAGCCGAGGUUCUGUCCAAGUCGAGAUCAGUUCAGUCCAGUCCAGUCAAGUCGUCCCUUGGGUUUUGGCUAAGUCCUCUCCGAUUAACCAGCUGCUUCUCGCCUAGAACACUGUGAGUUGGUUUUGUGUGAAUUCCAUUUGGAAUUUAGGGAAGAUCGAGUGUUCAUAUAGAUUGGAAUGAUCACUCUAUUGAAUGGUAGAGUCCUUAGAGUUAUUUAUUUAUGGAACCGGACUCAGUUUAGCAAGGGCUAAGCUGAGAUGAAUGGAAUGGAAUUAAGACUGAGUUGAUAACCUGACUAGGACUAGGGCUAGGAUGCCUCAUGUUUUCUACUCUUGCGUGUUGAUAUGGUUGAGUGCAGGUUCCCGUUAUCUU
RNAcentral lists this long non-coding RNA (376 nucleotides) under Brassica napus (rape). RNAcentral's name for it is "long non-coding RNA (BNAP_LNC012320)". The record is from RNAcentral. Lineage: Eukaryota; Viridiplantae; Streptophyta; Magnoliopsida; Brassicales; Brassicaceae.